GAAGGGUCUCUACCUGGGGAUUCUCUCUUUUGGAGCAUUUGGCAAGCUGUGAUCUUUGGGACAGGAAUAAAGCAGGACGUGGCUGUGUACACAGAGGCAGCACAAAGCACUGCUCACCACCAGCAGCCCCACUCCCAGCUCUGGGCACUGGUCCCACCUCCUCCAUGUGGCAGCUCUGCGAUCCCGGAGCAGCGCUCGACACUAAGUGUGAGGUGAUCUUUAAAGUGAAAACCUGCUGACAAACAAGGCUCCCGGAGGGGUGCUGCUCUCAGACCACCCUUGGUUCAGCUCACAGGACUGCUUUCUGCUGAUGUGACCGUGGGUGAGGCUCAGCCCUGACGUGCAGGCAUUGCAGCAGCGCUGAGGACAGGAGAGAUGCAGUCGCCACCAGAGGGCACAAACCUGAGAUUUUCCCGGUUAGAAUAACCUGGCAAUAUUAACUAGCUCCAUUCGUCCCUUGCUACGUGAAUGUGCUCUUCUUUUGUUUAUUUCCCUUCGGGGUGCCUGUAUAUCCCUUUGCACUCCAGCAAACAAGGCUGAAGUCUUCUGGUAAGCGAGUUCUUGGGUUGCAGAACAAACCCGUGUGGUGCUGCCUUUUUAUCCCUGUAGUGUUUCCAAGUGCUCAGCACUGAAAUGCAGCUGUGGAUCAGCUCAGCUUUGUAAUGCUUUGACUGCCAAAGUGAGGAAUCCACCCAGAAUCCAGAAGGCAUUAAAAAAAAAAAUAUUUAAGAAAAAAAUAUGAGUGAAGGAGGCAGAAAAGGAUAGAAAUGUUAGAGUUUGGGGGCAGAAAUCAGACCUCAGCUGAGUGUCAGGAGGCCAACGCACCUUGAAUUCAUUUCAAAGCUUCCUGCUUAAAGGAAAAAGGGCAGCGUUGCUCUUAAGAGCUACAGAUGUGGUAGGAAGGAGGUCAGACUGAAGGGGAUGUUGGUUUAAUCUAAUUCACAACAGAUAAUCCCUCGGCACGCACUUGUGCAAAAUGGUGUGGGAGGAGGAAGGGCUGAGGAGCACACAGCGUUGGCAGUGGGGUCAAAGGCAGCCCCCUCCAAAGACAGGGGGAGAGGAGGGAUCCCGUAGAUGGCAGUGCCAGAAACAGAUGGGGUGUCUCAGAGCUAUUAAUGACAAAAUCUGGCUGAGGACAGAAAAACUUCCAGCUUACAGUGGCUGGCCUCAAGCAGUAACCUACUAAAAAUGGUACGUUACAGUUUAAUGAUAAUUCAGAAAGCUUGCUGACGUCGUGAAGCCAGAGGGAAUGUGUCUGACCAAAGGGACAGGAUCAGGGCACCAAGCACCCCAUGUUAUGUGCUGCAGGAGGGUUGGCUGUAGGAAAUGGUCCAGGUGAGGGAAGAGGGUCAUGAUCCACGGCUCUAGGAUUAGGGCAGCGGGGACCCUCCAGCAUAGCAGCUUGUGCCCAUAGGGCCACAUAAGACAUUCAUCUGCUUACCCGUUGCCCUUUCUGUCUGCAGUGAUGACUUUUGAGGGUGCUCUGAUAACCAUGCAGCGAUGUGAAAUGUCACCCACUUGGUCACAGACGCGUGUUGUUGACUCAGCUGUGUUUCAGCUCUGCCACUGGCUUCCCCACCCCUUGAAUAUACGUAUUUUUGUUCAUUUAGAGAGUAAGAGGAAGGCAGAAAGAUAAUGCUGCAAAAAAGGGCUGUGUUGCAAAUGUGUGAUUAUGAAAAUACUUCCUCCUGAAGCGCUCUGCUGCCCUUAUCUGCCAGCGCUCAUCUGAGAUCCGCUAGUCCCAGCACCUGCCUCUGCAAGGACAGGCCAGCAUCGCGGUUGGUUCUGUUCUGCCUGGCUGACCUUUGCCUAGGCUGGCACAGAUGCAUUUUGCACAGCAGCCUCUGCUUUGCUUGCAGUAGUUCUGCAGAAAGCUCUCCCUCUGCACAGGCUGCAGAGCUGUAAGGGAGGCCAGCUGCCUCUGCUGACCGCCUGUGGGUUUUCCUCACUGCAGUUCUAUCCAACGUUUCUGUUGUGUUGCUUUGCUUGUUUGACCUCCUCCUCUUGCAGAGGCUCUUUCCUACUAAAUUCAACUCCCUAACCUUUGCUAGGGAACGCGUCUAUGUGUGCUGUGUCUGAGGCAGUGAAUUCAGAAUGCCCUCCCAGAAAAGCUCUGGCUUGGAGAUGAGCAGUUUCUCCUGCUGCAGAGUGCAGGCAGACAAGCUGCUCUCCCUAUUUACUCUCUCCAGCCCCCAGAGCAGAUCUCUGAAGGAAUCUAGCAGGGCAGACGGCUCUGCCACCCACCCUUGUUAACUUGUUGGCUUCAUGAAUUGAUGUUGCCUUGGAAAGCUGCACAAUGGAGCUCUGUUGGGUUUGACUGCGGCUCCCUCCUCAUUGCCUUUCUACUCCCAGGACCCCAAAGGGUGUCAGAAGCACAAGGCUGGGCCCCACACACUUUUAUUCAUGAGCAAUUUCAGAAGGUGCCUAUCUCAUCCACGGGGACAAUAAACUCCCUUUUCAAAUUAAUUUUCCGCGCAAGGAGGAAAUACUGCAUAAAGCAAACAAAAGGCAAGGUAUAUUUUUAUCAUGGGACCUGAAGCUGAGAAAUGUUCUUUUUAAUUUACUGCUAGGAAUGCUGCUGAUGACUGAUAGCUCCUGGUUAGGGCAGGCACUGAAUCUCUCCCAAGUGGCAUUUUUUAUAGUCAGGACCUGGAGAGGACCCUUCCUCUGGCUGCUCCUGCUCUGAGGCCCUGCUAGGAUCCGCUUCUAAGAAGCUGAGUGCUCAAAACCCAUCCCAGCUAUGCUUGGCCACUUUGAGAAUUGGCCUGAUUUUCCCAGCUGCAACUCAGAUCCUGAGAAAAAAUCAGGUCGUUUAACUAGGUGACUAACUGUGGCUUAGGUGCUCAGAUUUACCCAUGCUGGGUGGCAAGUGCUGGCUGCAGCACUGCAGUUAGGGAUAAGAAGUGGUGUUGUGACACGAGAAAAGAAAAAAGCCAGAAAAUAACUUGUUUUUCAGUGUCCAUCCAACUGCCAUCACACUGUGACCGUUUCUGGUCAUGCCAACACUGCAGCUGGAUUCAGAAAGGGUGAGAAGCCUUGUGCAGCAUUAGUAGCCGCUCAGUCCUCCAUAUCUCAGCUGCUGCUGCCUCUGGAGACGAAGUACAGGAUGCUCAAUCAGCAAUGCACAGUAGCACCAGACAGCAAAUAGAAGAGAAAGGGAGGGAGAUGCUACAUCCAACUGCAGGUGUGCAGAGGGGGGAUGCCAACAGCAGCACCUUCCAAGAGCGCUGCAGGGAUUUUAGCUACUACAGGAAUCAGGUAUUUUUAUUGUUCAACCUCACUCUUCAGUGUCAAGUUGUAAGGAAAGUUUCCCUCUGGUUGAAUGGCACUGAGGUACUGUUAGGAAGAGUCCCAGCUAAACAAUUGGUCCCUUAGCCUGAGUCAUAUAUAGUAUCUACUCUGGAAUGCAUAUUAAUGUGUAAGUGGUGCCCAUUUUAAUCCCAGCCCACUUAAUGGGAGAGUGCAGAGCUCUGCACACAACAGAAUUUAACUCAUUAUUGUUGAAGGAUUUUUGGCUUCCUGCAAUUUCAGGGUAGGAAAAAAAAGAGCAAUGGAGUAAUGUCAAUUCAGCUAGGAAAUAUAUAUCAAUAAACAUAAAGUAUAAUGGCAAAAUCCCAUUUACUUCAGAGGAAAUGGCUGUAAUGGGGAAUGAUGCAUUAACCAUAAAGAGAGCCUUUGGUCUCAGUAGCACCACACAGAAAUCCUUUGUAAUUGCUCAGCUUUCUUAUUCCAGUCCAAUUUCAAAAAGGAGGGUGGCAUUGCUGCCAGCAGUGCCUCGCACACAGGCUAACGAGCAGCAAAGUUAAUGCAAAUUGCACAAGAGAGGGACAGAGGGACUGGGUGAACUAUUAAGAGGUAUUUAAAUGCACGGGUUCCAUUUUCUCCCUACAGUUGAGAUGCAGAGAGCAGCGGACGCACGGCCGUGCUGGGGGUGCACACAGUGCUGGGGGCAGG
This is a long non-coding RNA of Lagopus muta (rock ptarmigan), 3954 nucleotides long. RefSeq lists it as uncharacterized. NCBI's taxonomy places the organism in Eukaryota, Metazoa, Chordata, Aves, Galliformes, Phasianidae. The transcript has 4 exons. The record is from RefSeq and is a predicted model, not a curated record.